UAGGGAAUCUUCGGCAAUGGACGAAAGUCUGACCGAGCAACGCCGCGUGAGUGAAGAAGGUUUUCGGAUCGUAAAACUCUGUUGUUAGAGAAGAACAAGGACGUUAGUAACUGAACGUCCCCUGACGGUAUCUAACCAGAAAGCCACGGCUAACUACGUGCCAGCAGCCGCGGUAAUACGUAGGUGGCAAGCGUUGUCCGGAUUUAUUGGGCGUAAAGCGAGCGCAGGCGGUUUCUUAAGUCUGAUGUGAAAGCCCCCGGCUCAACCGGGGAGGGUCAUUGGAAGCUGGGAGACUAGAGUGCAGAAGAGGAGAGUGGAAUUCCAUGUGUAGCGGUGAAAUGCGUAGAUAUAUGGAGGAACACCAGUGGCGAAGGCGGCUCUCUGGUCUGUAACAGACGCUGAGGCUCGAAAGCGUGGGGAGCAAACAGG
Molecule: ribosomal RNA, 429 nt
Filed under: Gemmatimonadota bacterium
Lineage: Bacteria; Pseudomonadati; Gemmatimonadota
Description: Gemmatimonadetes bacterium partial 16S ribosomal RNA
Rfam family: Bacterial small subunit ribosomal RNA
Source: RNAcentral